RNAcentral lists this ribosomal RNA (498 nucleotides) under uncultured bacterium. Its description in RNAcentral is "partial 16S ribosomal RNA". It matches the Rfam family "Bacterial small subunit ribosomal RNA", at positions 30 to 523 of the family's 1533-position model. The record is from RNAcentral.
AUUGAACGCUGGCGGCAUGCCUUACACAUGCAAGUCGAACGGUAACAGGUCUUCGGAUGCUGACGAGUGGCGAACGGGUGAGUAAUACAUCGGAACGUGCCUAGUAGUGGGGGAUAACUACUCGAAAGAGUGGCUAAUACCGCAUGAGAUCUACGGACGAAAGCAGGGGAUCGCAAGACCUUGUGCUACUAGAGCGGCCGAUGGCUGAUUAGGUAGUUGGUGGGAUAAAAGCUUACCAAGCCGACGAUCUGUAGCUGGUCUGAGAGGACGAUCAGCCACACUGGGACUGAGACACGGCCCAGACUCCUACGGGAGGCAGCAGUGGGGAAUUUUGGACAAUGGGCGCAAGCCUGAUCCAGCAAUGCCGCGUGCAGGAUGAAGGCCUUCGGGUUGUAAACUGCUUUUGUACGGAACGAAAAGCCCUGGGUUAAUACCCUGGGGUCAUGACGGUACCGUAAGAGUAAGCACCGGCUAACUACGUGCCAGCAGCCGCCGUAA